CAAAGAAGGUAAUAAUCCUGUAGUCGAAAAUGUUGUCUCUCUUGAGUGGAUCCUGAGUACGACGGAGCACGUGAAAUUCCGUCGGAAUCUGGGAGGACCAUCUCCUAAGGCUAAAUACUCUCUAGUGACCGAUAGUGAACCAGUACCGUGAGGGAAAGGUGAAAAGCACCCCGGAAGGGGAGUGAAAUAGAACCUGAAACCGUGUGCUUACAAGUAGUCAGAGCCCGUUAAUGGGUGAUGGCGUGCCUUUUGUAGAAUGAACCGGCGAGUUACGAUUUGAUGCAAGGUUAAGCAGUAAAUGUGGAGCCGUAGCGAAAGCGAGUCUGAAUAGGGCGUUUAGUAUUUGGUCGUAGACCCGAAACCAGGUGAUCUACCCUUGGUCAGGUUGAAGUUCAGGUAACACUGAAUGGAGGACCGAACCGACUUACGUUGAAAAGUGAGCGGAUGAACUGAGGGUAGCG
Molecule: ribosomal RNA, 461 nt
Filed under: Staphylococcus aureus
Lineage: Bacteria; Bacillati; Bacillota; Bacilli; Caryophanales; Staphylococcaceae
Description: partial 23S ribosomal RNA
Rfam family: Bacterial large subunit ribosomal RNA
Source: RNAcentral